Triticum aestivum (bread wheat) is the source of this 132-nucleotide non-coding RNA. The record is from Rfam. Lineage: Eukaryota; Viridiplantae; Streptophyta; Magnoliopsida; Poales; Poaceae.
UAUAUACUUCCUCUAUCUGAAAAUAGUUGUCAUCAAAAUGGAUAAAAAAAGAUGUAUCUAGAACUAAAAUACGUCUAGAUGCAUCCCUUUUAUCCAUUUUAAUGACAAGUAUUUCCGAACGAAGGGUACAUA